Perca fluviatilis (European perch) is the source of this 490-nucleotide long non-coding RNA. RefSeq lists it as uncharacterized. The record is from RefSeq and is a predicted model, not a curated record. Lineage: Eukaryota; Metazoa; Chordata; Actinopteri; Perciformes; Percidae. The transcript has 3 exons.
AGGGAUGUUGCUCUAUCUGCUCCUCCUCGCUGGAUGUGUCUCUCGCAGCUCUACUGACCCAGCUAUAGUCAAUGUGCUGCAGAACACAAAGGCUACUCUUCCCUGUCCUCAUAAGAAGGGGGAUGUAACAUGGAGCCGCUACAGAAAUGGUGACCUUGUGAUUCUGGUUACUAUCACAAAUGGCGAGGAGAAAAGAUCUGACAAACGCUACAGUUCUCUGGCAGACAACUCCCUGAACGGAGAGAAGAACUCGCAACAACAACUUGGACAAAAGUGUAGCCGACGAGACGAUUUAUGAGGAGAUGAAACCCUACGAGAAGCAGCCAAGAGGGAGGGACUCCAUACAACUGGACGAGCAUCAGUGAACCAAAGAGCACCUCCACGCCACCCAGUAAUAAUCUGAACAGCGCUGUUAAAAAGCCAAUAAUGAAUUAACCCUUUGUGACCAUGAACUUGUUUUCCUUCUGGGGACAGAAAAUUGAAAAUGAAC